RNAcentral lists this long non-coding RNA (301 nucleotides) under Lynx canadensis (Canada lynx). RNAcentral describes it as "lncRNA (ENSLCNG00005016511.1)". Lineage: Eukaryota; Metazoa; Chordata; Mammalia; Carnivora; Felidae. The record is from RNAcentral.
AAGCAGAGGAAAAUACACCCAUUUGUAUGCUUUUCUGUUAUCAGCUUAUCAUAUAUAUCCGCAAAGCAGAAAGAAGUGCCAUUUCUCUCCAAAAUGAAAGAAUGGAACAUUCUCCAGAAGAAGAGUGAAUUAUUCUCUCCCUCCUGGUCUCUUUGCUGUGCCCUCUGCUGUUAAAUCCACUUCCAUGCUCUCAGUGAUCUUCCAUAAAACCAUGAGCACGUCAAAUUCUGAGAUAUUCUUCUCAUCUGUUUGUGGAACCAGAUUACAAGGUAAGAAAAAUACAAAACAACUAUAGUAUCCC